This 409-nucleotide ribosomal RNA is filed under the name uncultured bacterium. RNAcentral's name for it is "bacterial SSU rRNA". It matches the Rfam family "Bacterial small subunit ribosomal RNA", at positions 354 to 777 of the family's 1533-position model. The record is from RNAcentral.
GUUAGGAAUAUUGGGCAAUGGAGGAAACUCUGACCCAGCAACGCCGCGUGAAGGAAGAAGGUUUUCGGAUUGUAAACUUCUGAUCUGUGGGAAGAAGAAAGUGACGGUACCACAGGAGAAAGCCACGGCUAACUACGUGCCAGCAGCCGCGGUAAUACGUAGGUGGCGAGCGUUGUCCGGAAUAACUGGGCGUAAAGGGAGCGUAGGUGGUGAUUUAAGUUAGGUGUGAAAGCCCGGGGCUCAACUUCGGAAUUGCACUUAAAACUGGGUCACUAGAGUGCAGGAGGGGUAAACGGAAUUUCUAGUGUAGCGGUGAAAUGCGUAGAUAUUAGGAAGAACACCGGAGGCGAAGGCGGUUUACUGGACUGCAACUGACACUGAGGCUCGAAAGCGUGGGAAGCAAACAGGA